GAUAGUAUACUUUGGUACAAGUCUAGAAUCCCUGCUACUUUGGAGUCUGAGGCUGGUGGAUCUCUGGAGCUCAGGAGUUCUGAACUGCAGUUGACUAAGCCAAUCAGGUAUCUCUACUAAGUUCAGCCUCAAGAUGAUGAGUCUCCAGCAGCCAGGGAACCACCAGAUUGCCUAAGGAGGGGAAAACCAGUCCAGAUAGGAAAUGGAACAGGUCAAAGCUCUUGCACUAAUCAGUAGUGAGUUUGGGUUUGUGAGCAUUCCCUGUACUCUAGGCUGGGAGCGCUAGGGAGACCCAGGCUUUA
RNAcentral lists this signal recognition particle RNA (302 nucleotides) under Vombatus ursinus (common wombat). RNAcentral describes it as "Metazoan signal recognition particle RNA (ENSVURG00010016147.1)". It matches the Rfam family "Metazoan signal recognition particle RNA". Rfam says of the family: The signal recognition particle (SRP) is a universally conserved ribonucleoprotein. It is involved in the co-translational targeting of proteins to membranes. The eukaryotic SRP consists of a 300-nucleotide 7S RNA and six proteins: SRPs 72, 68, 54, 19, 14, and 9. The record is from Rfam by way of RNAcentral. Lineage: Eukaryota; Metazoa; Chordata; Mammalia; Diprotodontia; Vombatidae.